CAGUCGCCACGGUAACACGGAGGGUGCAAGCGUUAAUCGGAAUUACUGGGCGUAAAGCGUGCGUAGGCGGUUCGUUAAGUCUGUUGUGAAAGCCCCGGGCUCAACCUGGGAAUGGCAAUGGAUACUGGCGAGCUAGAGUGUGUCAGAGGAUGGUGGAAUUCCCGGUGUAGCGGUGAAAUGCGUGGAUAUGCGGAGGAACACCGAUGGCGAAGGCAGCCCCCUGGGCCAACACUGACGCUCAUGCACGAAAGCGUGGGGAGCAAACAGGAUUAGAUACCCCCGUAGUCCCUGUCUCUUAUAC
Molecule: ribosomal RNA, 301 nt
Filed under: uncultured bacterium
Lineage: Bacteria
Description: partial 16S ribosomal RNA
Rfam family: Bacterial small subunit ribosomal RNA
Source: RNAcentral